This 1345-nucleotide unclassified non-coding RNA is filed under the name Hevea brasiliensis (rubber tree). Lineage: Eukaryota; Viridiplantae; Streptophyta; Magnoliopsida; Malpighiales; Euphorbiaceae. The record is from RNAcentral.
AAUAGACAACCAGAGCCCUUCCCCUUUCCUUAUGAUUAUGAUAGAGACAUAAUCCUUAGUGAUUGGUACCACCACAAUCCUUAUGAACAAGCCACGAACUUGUCUUCGAUACCUUUUCAGUGGGUUGGAGAACCUCAGUCACUUCUAAUCAAUGGAAGAGGGAAGUACAAUUGUUCUCUUUUGGGUUCAAGUGUAGACCCAGAAGUUUGUAAUCUAACAAAUCCUACAUGUUCUCCAGCAGUAUUAACAGUAAUUCCUGGAAAAACAUACCGGUAUAGGAUUGCUAGCUUGACUUCACUUUCUUCUUUCAGUUUCCAAAUAGAGGGCCACAACAUGACAGUUGUUGAAGCUGAUGGGACAUAUGUUGAGCCAUUUGUUACCCAGAACUUAUACAUUUACUCUGGUGAGACAUUUUCUGUCUUAGUGAACGCCACUCAAGACCCUACAAGGAACUACUGGGCUACCAUAAAUGUGGUUAGUCGAAAACCAGCAACUCCUGAUGGAUUAGCCAUUUUCAAUUACUACCCAAAUCAUUUCCAUAAAUUGCCUCCUACUGUACCACCACCUGGUCCCCUUUGGAAUGAUACUGAUUCCAGAAUAAACCAAAGCCUCGCCAUUAAAGCACUUCAAGGUCAUGUAGAGUCCCCUCCCAAGACAUCAGAUAGAGUGAUUGUACUUCUCAACACGCAGAACACCAUUGAUGGCAAAUAUCGCUGGUCUCUUAACAAUGUAUCUCACUCCCUACCUACUACCCCAUACCUCAUAGCACUCAAGGAAAAUAUGAGUGAUGUUUUUGAUCAAACCCCACCUCCAGAAAACUACAACCCAGAUUAUGACAUUUUCAAUGUUGCGAAUAACACAAAUGCCACUUCUAGUACAUCCAUUUACAGGCUCAUAUUUAACUCCACAGUGGAUAUUAUACUUCAAAAUGCCAACACCAUCACGAAGAAUAAUAGCGAGACACAUCCUUGGCAUCUACAUGGGCAUGAUUUUUGGGUGUUAGGAUAUGGGACCGGAAAGUUCAACAAUGAAACUGAUGUUGGGAAAUAUAAUUUGGAUAAUCCAAUAAUGAAGAAUACAGUGCCGCUUCACCCUUAUGGAUGGACAGCAUUGAGGUUUCGAGCAGAUAAUCCAGGCAUCUGGCUUUUCCAUUGCCAUAUCGAGUCUCACUUCUUCAUGGGAAUGUUAGCAUUGUUUGAAUCGGGAUCAGAGAUGGUUUCAGACCCCCCAGAAGCUAACAUGGGCUGUGGGGAGUCCAAGCGCUUAAUUAAUAAUACUAUUCUUACUUAAGGUUAUUAUUAUUAUUUUUUAAUAUUAGCAAAGAAAUGGCAUUUGUAUUGGUAUU